This 468-nucleotide ribosomal RNA is filed under the name uncultured bacterium. Its description in RNAcentral is "partial 16S ribosomal RNA". It matches the Rfam family "Bacterial small subunit ribosomal RNA", at positions 28 to 507 of the family's 1533-position model. The record is from RNAcentral.
GACGAACGCUGGCGGCGUGCUUAACACAUGCAAGUCGAACGGAAAGGCCCUGCUUUUGUGGGGUGCUCGAGUGGCGAACGGGUGAGUAACACGUGAGUAACCUGCCCUUGACUUUGGGAUAACUUCAGGAAACUGGGGCUAAUACCGGAUAGGAGCUCCUGCUGCAUGGUGGGGGUUGGAAAGUUUCGGCGGUUGGGGAUGGACUAGCGGCUUAUCAGCUUGUUGGUGGGGUAGUGGCUUACCAAGGCUUUGACGGGUAGCCGGCCUGAGAGGGUGACCGGCCACAUUGGGACUGAGAUACGGCCCAGACUCCUACGGGAGGCAGCAGGGGGGAAUAUUGCACAAUGGGCGGAAGCCUGAUGCAGCAACGCCGCGUGCGGGAUGACGGCCUUCGGGUUGUAAACCGCUUUCGCCUGUGACGAAGCGUGAGUGACGGUAAUGGGUAAAGAAGCACCGGCUAACUACGUG